Molecule: ribosomal RNA, 458 nt
Filed under: Escherichia coli
Lineage: Bacteria; Pseudomonadati; Pseudomonadota; Gammaproteobacteria; Enterobacterales; Enterobacteriaceae
Description: bacterial SSU rRNA
Rfam family: Bacterial small subunit ribosomal RNA
Source: RNAcentral
AUUGAACGCUGGCGGCAGGCCUAACACAUGCAAGUCGAACGGUAACAGGAAACAGCUUGCUGUUUCGCUGACGAGUGGCGGACGGGUGAGUAAUGUCUGGGAAACUGCCCGAUGGAGGGGGAUAACUACUGGAAACGGUAGCUAAUACCGCAUAACGUCGCAAGACCAAAGAGGGGGACCUUCGGGCCUCUUGCCAUCGGAUGUGCUCAGAUGGGAUUAGCUAGUAGGUGGGGUAACGGCUCACCUAGGCGACGAUCCCUAGCUGGUCUGAGAGGAUGACCAGCCACACUGGAACUGAGACACGGUCCAGACUCCUACGGGAGGCAGCAGUGGGGAAUAUUGCACAAUGGGCGCAAGCCUGAUGCAGCCAUGCCGCGUGUAUGAAGAAGGCCUUCGGGUUGUAAAGUACUUUCAGCGGGGAGGAAGGGAGUAAAGUUAAUACCUUUGCUCAUUGACGU